AAACCUCCUUGUCAAAGCCUGAUCUCAUCACAUCUCAGAAGCUAAGCAGGGUAGGUCUGGUUAGGCCUUAGACGGGAGAUCGCUGGGAAUUCCAAGUG
Molecule: ribosomal RNA, 98 nt
Filed under: Periophthalmus magnuspinnatus
Lineage: Eukaryota; Metazoa; Chordata; Actinopteri; Gobiiformes; Gobiidae
Source: RNAcentral